GGCCUGGCUGAGUACUUUGGUUCUAUUUUGUUGGUUUCUAGGACUGAAGUA
This 51-nucleotide ribosomal RNA is filed under the name uncultured fungus. RNAcentral's name for it is "partial small subunit ribosomal RNA". The record is from RNAcentral. Lineage: Eukaryota; Fungi.